UACGGGAAGGGCAAGCGUUAUCCGGCGUGACUGGGCGUAAAGAGUCCGUAGACGGUAAAGUAAGUUUAUUGUUAAAUGUUAAAACUUAAUUUUAAUAGAGCAAUUAAAUACUGCUUUACUUUGAGUUUAAUAUAGAAAAGUAGAAUUUUAUAUGGUAGGGUGAAAUCCGUAGAUAUAUAAAGGAAUGUCAACAGCGAAGGCAACUUUUUGGUAUAAACU
This 219-nucleotide ribosomal RNA is filed under the name uncultured bacterium. RNAcentral's name for it is "partial 16S ribosomal RNA". It matches the Rfam family "Bacterial small subunit ribosomal RNA", at positions 524 to 741 of the family's 1533-position model. The record is from RNAcentral.